Molecule: long non-coding RNA, 779 nt
Filed under: Sarcophilus harrisii (Tasmanian devil)
Lineage: Eukaryota; Metazoa; Chordata; Mammalia; Dasyuromorphia; Dasyuridae
Description: lncRNA (ENSSHAG00000022237.1)
Source: RNAcentral
AAAAAAAGCAAGAAAGCGCUGCGGAAAAGGGAUCCCGGCAAGAAAGCGCUGCGGGGAAGGGAUCCCAGCAAGCCCGGGGUUGGCAGCGUGGAGCCGGCGCGGUUGCUUGGACAGGUGCCGCUGCCCUGAGAAGAAGGCAUGUGACGCGGCGGCGGCGGCCGCUGCCUGCGGGCGGAGCGCUCGCUGGACCUAGAGCCCACACCCCGACUGAGGGACAAGUUGCCCUUUCUCCCAUAGUCAACUCCCGUGGAGCCUACUGAGCUUCGGGUUGGAUCAUGAACCGGAGUCUACGAAGCGUGAAUCUGGCUUGAGCAUCUUGGUCCUGGGUCGUUUGCUCGCUGAACCUUCCUAGAACGGGAGUGGAGUGAGGAAUCCAGGCACCUUGUUGAGGGCAUUGGAAAGGUUUUGACAAGGCAGAGGUACCUGCAACGUUCCGGGAUUCAGUCCACCAGAUAUGGAUGGUUAUAGCAGAUAUUUCAGCAAGGAACAUUAUCAGAGAUUAUGGAUUGGAUGAACCAUAUUCGUUUGCAAUAUGAUGUACAAUAUCAGGACUCUUCCCUGUCAUUGCCUUCAUGGUGAUAGAACACCAGGUUUCCUUCAGGAAGAGAAAUACACAACAGUGUCUAGUACAGUGGCUUGAUUUGAUGUUUCUACCUAGAACAUGUAUGUAAAAUUUACUCUAUUUUUUUACCUCUAGUUUCUUAUAGACAUUUUAUAUAAACAUAAUUUAUUUUCCAAAGUAGAAAACUUUUAUUCUGUAAAAUACAAUCCAUAGAUAC